Non-coding RNA from Electrophorus electricus (electric eel), 1671 nucleotides. Lineage: Eukaryota; Metazoa; Chordata; Actinopteri; Gymnotiformes; Gymnotidae. The record is from RefSeq and is a predicted model, not a curated record.
AUUUUUGGCUCAGUUUUCAUUUUGAUGCUGUGUGUUGUGAAGGACUGUGUGGACGUUCAGAGCCUAGCUGAAGGCGCUGAGAGCGAGUGACCUUCCUGGGUCUUUGUAGGCGACAGAUCUCCCCCUGAGCUCCGCCUACAGACCCCAGUCUAGGCUUGGGACCUUGGAGAUCAAACAGUACACUACUUCGAAUUUUUUUGACAUGUCACAUUUUGCAAUGUUUUCUAUGGUCAGCAAAACUGAAUACCUGUUUCUUCUAAUUGUGUCUGUUUGCGUGUGUGCGUGUGUGCGCUGACACCUGGUGGCUAUAUAUUGUCAGUCAUGACAACAUCGAUGUGGAACUUUUGUUUUGUAAACCAAGCACCUGUUGCCAUAGUGGUGUGUGUGUGUGUGUGUGUGAGUGAGAGUGAGAGAGAGAGAGGUUCCAAGUCCAGCAUCUGACGAGUAACUUGCAGCGGCCAAUGCAAGUUGUGUUCAGUGUGAAUUUCGUUUUCACUGGGAGUCAGUGUAUUAUUACUGGGUGUGUGGUGUGAUGUGGUUGUCCAGGCUUCCAUUGUUCCCACUGUCAAAAGCAGAAACCAGCACUCUGGCGUGGUAUGGACCCAACGUUCUUACACAAAACACAAGUUAAACACUCAAUGUUUAGUAUUAAUAUUACAUCAAGUAGUGGACAUUUCUUUCUGAAAGAGAAUCCUUGAGUUUUCUGGUGCUGCUUUAGGUGUGAGGUGUGGUGUGACCAGGUGAUGUGAUGCUGCUAUGUAGUUUGAUUCGCCUUAUGCUAAUUACACCCUGCCCCUGAGCCUAAUUGCACCACACUUUCCCUUUAUGGCCCUUGUGGGGGAGUCAAGAUACUCGGCGUACAUAACCUAAAACUUAUAAGGAGAGGCGACCAAUCAUAGUGCCAAAUUUGGGUGUUGGGUCAUUUCGAACAGGUCAUCUUCCCAAGGCAGGCUGUUUUCCUUCAUUAUUGUGUGUGUGUGUGUGUGUGUGUGUGUGUGUGUGUGUGUGUAGUAGUGAAAGCUCUCCAAGUGUCUGGUGUUCUGGCUGAGCUGUUGAGGUCCUUCAGUAAAGGGCACAGGAUUUGCUGUAGUACAGAAGUAUUGAAUAGCUCAGCGCUUUAGAGCCCUUCAAGUCUAGCCCCUCCCCUAGGUUAACGCCUCCUCUAGCAUAGCCCCUCCCCUAGGUUAACGCCUCUUCUAGCGCUCUGUCUACGUUUCUUGUGUACAGGUUCCUUUCUUACACUACAGGCUUGUACUUACCCAUCAGGCCUCCAGAGCUCCAAAGACCACGUACCCAAUCCCUCCCUCUGAUGGCCUCACUCACAGGGUAGGGGCUUUGUUUUGGUUUUCUUCUGUUGUUUGCUUGUUUUCUUUUUUUUUUUCCUUUUGUUUUUUUAAAUGUUUAUAUUGUACAGGAUAUGAAUUCUGAUCAUUUAUAUUAAGGAAUGGGGCUUUUUAUCAUGACAGGGAGUAUUACAGAUGAUGCAUCUUUUUUAAUAAGAAAAAUUGAGUAUUGAUAUUUUUCAGGGAUCAUUAAGAAAAAAAAAGGGUCAAAAAUGUUAUUGAAGGAAUCGAUGCAUCUUGUACAGAGCCGAGACGUUCUCCCUUAGCAAAGAUUGUUUCUUUGUAGAAACGUCUUUUCUGCCCAUGUUCCUUGUAAUCAUAAGUGUAA